GAGUUUGAUCCUGGCUCAGGAUUAACGCUGGCGGCAUGCCUAAUACAUGCAAGUCGAACGGAGUAGCAAUACUUAGUGGCGAACGGGUGAGUAACACGUAUCUAAUCUACCAUUUAGUGGGGAAUAACUGUUGGAAAUGACAGCUAAUACCGCAUAAUAUUGCUGGAUAAUUUCCAGUAAUGAAAGGAGCUUUCAAGCUCCGCUGAUUGAUGAGGAUGCGGCGCAUUAGCUAGUUGGUAGGGUAAUGGCCUACCAAGGCAAUGAUGCGUAGCCGAUCUGAGAGGAUGAACGGCCACAUUGGGACUGAGACACGGCCCAAACUUCUACGGAAGGCAGCAGUAGGGAAUUUUUCACAAUGGGCGAAAGCCUGAUGGAGCAAUGCCGCGUGACUGAUGAAGGUCUUCGGAUUGUAAAGGUCUGUUGUAAGGGAAGAAAUGGUAAAACAGGAAAUGGUUUUAUCUAUGACGGUAUCUUACCAGAAAGCCACGGCUAACUAUGUGCCAGCAGCCGCGGUAAUACAUAGGUGGCAAGCGUUAUCCGGAUUUAUUGGGCGUAAAGGGUGCGUAGACGGUUUUGCAAGUCUGAGGUUAAAUUUAGGAGCUCAACUCCUAAUCGCCUUGGAAACUACAAGACUAGAGUAUAGGAGAGGUUAGUGGAAUUCCAUGUGUAGCGGUGGAAUGUGUAGAUAUAUGGAGGAAACACCAGUGGCGAAAGGC
Molecule: ribosomal RNA, 716 nt
Filed under: uncultured Spiroplasma sp.
Lineage: Bacteria; Bacillati; Mycoplasmatota; Mollicutes; Entomoplasmatales; Spiroplasmataceae
Description: bacterial SSU rRNA
Rfam family: Bacterial small subunit ribosomal RNA
Source: RNAcentral